GACGAACGCUGGCGGCGUGCUUAACACAUGCAAGUCGAACGGAAAGGCCCUGCUUUUGUGGGGUGCUCGAGUGGCGAACGGGUGAGUAACACGUGAGUAACCUGCCCUUGACUUUGGGAUAACUUCAGGAAACUGGGGCUAAUACCGGAUAGGAGCUCCUGCUGCAUGGUGGGGGUUGGAAAGUUUCGGCGGUUGGGGAUGGACUCGCGGCUUAUCAGCUUGUUGGUGGGGUAGUGGCUUACCAAGGCUUUGACGGGUAGCCGGCCUGAGAGGGUGACCGGCCACAUUGGGACUGAGAUACGGCCCAGACGCCUACGGGAGGCAGCAGUGGGGAAUAUUGCACAAUGGGCGGAAGCCUGAUGCAGCAACGCCGCGUGCGGGAUGACGGCUUUCGGGUUGUAAACCGAUUUCGCCUGUGACGAAGCGUGAGUGACGGUAAUGGGUAAAGAAGCACCGGCUAACUACGUG
This 468-nucleotide ribosomal RNA is filed under the name uncultured bacterium. Its description in RNAcentral is "partial 16S ribosomal RNA". It matches the Rfam family "Bacterial small subunit ribosomal RNA", at positions 28 to 507 of the family's 1533-position model. The record is from RNAcentral.